This is a non-coding RNA of Pelobates cultripes (western spadefoot toad), 1333 nucleotides long. NCBI's taxonomy places the organism in Eukaryota, Metazoa, Chordata, Amphibia, Anura, Pelobatidae. The record is from the annotation of a GenBank genome assembly.
AGCCAGCAAAAUACUCCUGAAUAUUCGUAAAAGACGUGUUGGGACUUAACAAAACUACUCUGUAACAUUAGGCUAUUGAAAGCCCUACAAACAUCAACAAGAAGGUGUCGUUAUAGAUUUUGCAUGUGUGCAUACUUUCUAAACUGAUUGACAAUUUUAUGAGCUUGGACUCCAUUGUGAAUAAAGUGACCAUGACUGACACACUUUUGUGCUUCAAAGAAUGACACUAUCAACCUCAGGUGUGGUGUAUUCUAUAAUACUACAUGUAUGGCCUGUUGGCUUCCUAAAGUUAUUACUUCAUCAGAAAGAAUCAUUUUGUCUUCAGAAGACUCCUUAGGCUUGGGGCAGAGACUCUGACAGUCACCGGGCAAAUGUCACGGUUCGCACCAUGACAUCCAGAAGUGCUCAACGGGGGAUUUGAACUGUGGUCCAUCUCUGCCUUAGUCCUGCUGUCUUGCUUCUGGACCACACCUAAGUUCUGCCUAAUGUCUAUCCUGGCCUUGUCUCCAGCACUGGGGGGCUGGACUUUACCUGUGGUUGCACCUGUCAAUCUCAGCCCACCUGAAGCUGAUGCCCAAUUACCCAGGUAAAAGACACUGCCUCUCCCUGAGGGCAGUGUCGGUUCAUUGACUCUGGCUCUGCUGUUUGGUUCCUGUUGUUUUGUGUCUUGAUCCAGUGUUCUUCACACUGAUUCUAGCUUCCGACCUUGGCUUGUUUCUUCGAUUUCUCUGACCUUUGGCUUCCCCUGACUUCGGCUUUCCACGACUACUCUUCUGCUAGUCCUUGCCUGUACUGCGACUUGGAGUAUAUCCCUGCACAGACUGUAGAAGUUGGCGUCUUGCCUGGUCACCCUGGUCUGUUUAUUUGCAAGCGUGAGCGUAUAUUUCUGUACACCGGACUCCACAUCAGGUAAGACCCUGACAGCAUGGUCGGAGCACUACACUCAUCCUAUCGUGGCAGAUUAGUCUUAAGGAAAAUAUAAUAAAUGGGCGAGUAGGAGCCAUGUCUGGCUGUGUAUAAAGUAUAAUACUAAUCCUCUAGGUACAGAGACUUCCAAAAGUUAACUAGAGGUAGUUGUGCCAAAUAGAAGGAAGGCUGUGUUGGGAGAGAUCACCCAUGCUGGAGGAAAUAUUCUUUCAUGGUCUAGGGAGUCUGGAGGAAUGAGAGAUGUGGGUUAAGGUUUGUUGGAUGAGGCCUUGAACUAGCUGUUAACUUGUGACUGUUAAAGACGCAUGCUUUGAUCCGGUUUUCUUUACGUCUUUAGCAUUGCUUCUUUUGGUGUGGAGAAAACCACCCAGAAAAACUAAGCAAGGGGGAGAAAAACCCCCACUCC